Molecule: ribosomal RNA, 465 nt
Filed under: uncultured bacterium
Lineage: Bacteria
Description: partial 16S ribosomal RNA
Rfam family: Bacterial small subunit ribosomal RNA
Source: RNAcentral
GACGAACGCUGGCGGCGUGCUUAACACAUGCAAGUCGAACGGAAAGGCCCUGCUUGCAGGGUACUCGAGUGGCGAACGGGUGAGUAACACGUGGGUGAUCUGCCCUGCACUUCGGGAUAAGCCUGGGAAACUGGGUCUAAUACCGGAUAGGAGCCAUUUUUAUUGUGAUGGUUGGAAAGUUUUUUCGGUGUAGGAUGAGCUCGCGGCCUAUGAGCUUGUUGGUGGGGUAAUGGCCUACCAAGGCGGCGACUGGUAGCCGGCCUGAGAGGGUGGACGGCCACAUUGGGACUGAGAUACGGCCAAGACUCCUACGGGAGGCAGCAGUGGGGAAUAUUGCACAAUGGGAGCGAGCCUGAUGCAGCGACGCCGCGUGGGGGAUGACGGCCUUCGGGUUGUAAACUCCUUUCGCUAGGGACGAAGCUUUUUGUGACGGUACCUAGAUAAGAAGCACCGGCUAACUACGUG